UCUAGACAUCUGGUGUUACAUGCCCCUACAACACCAGGUCCGGAUUCCAGUGAGCGAUUCGACGCAAGAGCUUAAAUCCUUUUGCUCUUCUGUAAAGUGUAGAUAGUCUUGCUGGAUCAUCAGACUGCUUAUGCAGCAGGGAUCCGGGACAACACUUGGUGGAAGCAAAAACUGAGCAUCUGACUGAGACUGACGGUCAUCGACAAUGGGACAUAUCGACAUCUGCAGCGUGUGCAAAUACGUGUGCGCGUGAAGCAUGCGAUCAUAGAACGCUUCUUUGCUCUCCACCUGGGUAUAUCCGGAACUAUAGCGAUUGCGAGUAGGGUUUGCUCAUGUUCUCUGACCACUCGCAAGAUCCGGCACAGGUGCGGCAGUUCCUGGCAGGUCGUUAGUCGUCAUCAGCAUGUAUCUCGAGUCACAGAGCUUCCAUGUCCAGUUUCAGCGAGUGCGAUCACAAAAGCCUUAAACCAUUAUUGAUUCUGGGAAACCUGAAAUUCUAAGCUUACAUUUAUCUGGCAAGUUCUUACCACCAUUAUGGAAUGCCAGGAGCUUGUACAUGCAUUGUACGAAGCCAUGACCCUCGCUCUUCUCACUCCUGCGGACGCCAUCCUUGAUCCAGGAACAAGAAAUGUCCAGCUUUGCUUUUUGUAAGACAGAAAUCUUGUGGAGUGCCCACAAGACCUUGUGGACAGGCGCAUUUACAGGUGCUGUUGUAAGCUGAAUGGAAAUACUGGUUCAACGACUCUCACAUGAUUUCUUCUCCUCAACUGCUGAUUGGAAUAGGAAUUCGAGCGCACAUGGAUUAUCUGCAGUUUAGCCUGGUAGGGGAGGAGGACUUCUUAUGGUAAAGCGUAGGGUUUAUGCUUGACCGGCAUGUGUUUGGGGAAAACAUGAAUUGACGAUCACGUAUUGCCGUAUGAAGAAGGCAAGAGCAGACUUAAAAUGUCGUAUGGAUUCCUGACCAACAGUUAGUCCAUUAACAACUACUGUUGUAAGCCAGAAUCUUGAAGAUUCCAUGUAACAAGUCCGUUGGGUUUUCAAAAUCUCAUUUAUGCUCCGAGACAA
Molecule: long non-coding RNA, 1065 nt
Organism: Physcomitrium patens
Lineage: Eukaryota; Viridiplantae; Streptophyta; Bryopsida; Funariales; Funariaceae
Source: RefSeq, a predicted model, not a curated record